CGCUUCUGUUUUGUCAUUAAAUCUUUCUUUUCCUGGUUCUCUUGCUCUUCAACCUUUUGCAAAAAGAAUUGAGCCCAAAGUUGUCGGAUGUGAUCAAUUGACUCUUUUUCAUAUGAUAGGUGUCUGUGAAUAUCUGCAAGUUCAAACAUAUAUAAAAUUAAGACAACUACAAUGUUAAAACAAUAAUUUACAUGUUUUUCAUUAAAUAUAUGUAAUAUAAAAUACCUCAUUGAAUCUUUCAACAAUACAAGCAUCAAUAAUGUCAAACAUAUUUUUCAUGACAUAAUAUCCACAUGCCCAUCCGUUAUCUUGUUGAU
RNAcentral lists this long non-coding RNA (317 nucleotides) under Lathyrus oleraceus (garden pea). Its description in RNAcentral is "Pisum sativum (pea) long non-coding RNA (PSAT_LNC037209)". The record is from RNAcentral. Lineage: Eukaryota; Viridiplantae; Streptophyta; Magnoliopsida; Fabales; Fabaceae.